AUAUUCUGUAUGACUGUUGAAAAUUUCAACUUUUAGAGGAUGACCAAGAGGCAAGCCUCUCUUAACAUGAUCGGCUUCUUGCAACGGUGUAAGCGAUGGUUGUAGUUCUGUUAUCAAAAUGGGGAGAGUUCCUUUCAAUUGUGCAAACUCACGAACAUUUAAGAAGUAAAAAGAAUUUUUUUCAGGCUCAUUCUUCAUCAUAAAUCUUGGCUUAUCAGUAUGUUGUCUCAAAAGACCUUCAAUGACCACUGGACCUUUAGGUAAAGAACUAGGAUCUCGAGAAGACUGUUCAGCAAAUGAUCGAGCAAUCCAUCCUCUGUUGACUAAAAUUCGACGCCCAUCGUCUAAAAUAAAUGGGGU
Schizosaccharomyces pombe (fission yeast) is the source of this 360-nucleotide non-coding RNA. The record is from the annotation of a GenBank genome assembly. NCBI's taxonomy places the organism in Eukaryota, Fungi, Ascomycota, Schizosaccharomycetes, Schizosaccharomycetales, Schizosaccharomycetaceae.